AAGUACAAAUGUUAAUGUGGUAGUUUUACUUUUACUUAAGUACAUUUUUUGAGUACUUUCUCCACCACUGUUGUGCAGGAAGGAGAUGAUCUGAGUGGAACAGAUAACCAGCCAGACUGCUGACAAUAUUUUUGCAUUAAAAACAAGAUGAAAAACACCAUGAAUAAACUUUAAUGUGCUUGUUAUUUAGCACAAAAAUUAAUUUCAACAGCCAACAGAGACCUGGAAACCAUCAAUAGCCAUCGAUAUUUAUGGCUACUGAUGGCUGAUUGGCUUUUGGAAGAGCAAAGGGGCAGGGGGAAAUUCAUGCAAUUAUUUUUCGAGCAGAGCAAAAAUGAUCUGCUCUGGGCAAUGUGUGGGUGAGCAUUUGGUUCGAUCCGUAAACGGACAUAGCCCCGAUGUCUUUUUUUUUCAUCUCAACGCCAUUAGAAAGAAAACAUCAUCACAGUUCUAGAAAUGGUGACAAAUACAGAAAAGUCAUUUAAUUUUUAGGCAGAAUUGGUUCAGACUUGGACUGGAUCAGAGUCAAAGCCUUUUUUCAGACGUCUGACCGGUUCCUGUCCCCAACCCGACCUGAAGCUGCCGCAUGUGCGUAAACCUUUGGGUGACUGUUAUCAGAGUUGUGUGCAGUCUCUGUAAAUGUCUGGCGGCUCCAGUGGACAGGCAGGCAGGGCCCACAUCAAGCCGAACAUGUAUGGAAAAAAAAUGUUAGCAUCUGGUCUUUUGUACGUGUAAGGGGAAACACUGUUUAUGACAUAGUGAUAUAAAUCAUGUGGCGUGAAUUCAGGCAAAGUUGGUAAUUUGAUCAACGCGUCAGCAGGUGGUGUGGGUCGUUUUUUUAAGCUUGCUGGUUCAAGCUUCUGUAAAUACUGCUGUCUAUGANGCCCAACCAGGUGUGUUACGUUCACAGACAAAUUAGCUUGACUUGAACAAAUAGAAGCCAUGAAUAAAGACAAAAAUAACUUUGGAAAACAACUUCAGCCGCUCAGUUCCUUACUCCAGAUUCUCACUUCCGAUGUACAUUAUGGCACUUUGAAUGAUUAAGUGACGUAGUUGCACAGGGUCAAUACUAGGGUAUCCCCUUUGUCAUGAAUGCUGUUUUAACCUAAACAAUAUAUGAGAUAAUAUAUAAGAUAAAAUAUAUAUUAU
Molecule: long non-coding RNA, 1149 nt
Organism: Poecilia latipinna (sailfin molly)
Lineage: Eukaryota; Metazoa; Chordata; Actinopteri; Cyprinodontiformes; Poeciliidae
Exons: 2
Source: RefSeq, a predicted model, not a curated record